UGGAGCGGAGCGGCAGGCCGCGGCCCGGGGACGCAUCCCGCAUUUUUUACCUACUUUGGUGCGAUUCCCGCCACCCUCCCCUGAUUGGCCGAGCCCGGCACUUCGGGCCCUCGCGUGAGGGGAAAAAUCUGCACAUUUUUCCUCCUUCCCGAGGCGACCGUGGCCGUUCAGAGUGUUCUGUGAGUCACCGCUAAUUUCAGAAUUCUGCCUCUCCCACAGCUACUGUAGGAUGUGAAAACCUCAGAACUGGCAAAGUGCCCAUGCCCCGAAGCCACUAGGUAUCCUCUGCAAGCCCAGGUAGAUGGAAAUCCUAAGGACAUAUGUAUGAGUCUGCAAAUAAAGAUAGAGGUAAAGAAUGAGACAUAAGAGGAAUCCAAGAAAGAAAAACAGCAAGCUGAAUCCAGUCAAGAAGAAGAAACAGCACAAGACAUUAAAAUGAGCACAGUUAACUAUUCUCAGAAAGAUGGUGUCUUGCUGUGUUGCCUAGACUGGACUUGAACUC
Long non-coding RNA from Microcebus murinus (gray mouse lemur), 502 nucleotides. RefSeq lists it as uncharacterized. NCBI's taxonomy places the organism in Eukaryota, Metazoa, Chordata, Mammalia, Primates, Cheirogaleidae. The record is from RefSeq and is a predicted model, not a curated record.